AUUGAACGCUGGCGGCGUGCUUAACACAUGCAAGUCGAACGAAGUGGCGAACGGGUGAGUAAUACGUGGGUAACCUGCCCUCCUUUUUGGGAUAAGCCUUGGAAACGGGGUCUAAUACCGAAUAAAGGGGGAUGGGCUCGCGGCCUAUCAGCUUGUUGGUGGGGUGAUGGCCUACCAAGGCGGUCACGGGUCGCCGGCCUGAGAGGGUGACCGGCCACAUUGGGACUGAGAUACGGCCCAGACUCCUACGGGAGGCAGCAGUGGGGGAUAUUGAACAAUGGGCGCAAGCCUGAUGCAGCCAUGCCGCGUGUAUGAAGAAGGCCUUCGGGUUGUAAAGUACUUUCAGCGGGGAGGCGUUACCCGCAGAAGAAGCACCGGCUAACUCCGUGCCAGCAGCCGCGGUAAUAC
RNAcentral lists this ribosomal RNA (408 nucleotides) under uncultured bacterium. RNAcentral describes it as "partial 16S ribosomal RNA". It matches the Rfam family "Bacterial small subunit ribosomal RNA", at positions 30 to 526 of the family's 1533-position model. The record is from RNAcentral.